UAUCUGUGGAGGGCAACAUUUUAGACUGACUUCUUGUUCCCUCAUUUGAAUUUCAAAUUCUUAUCUACGAAUGCUUUUCACCUCCCUUUAGAUCCAGAGGCUAAGGAGAAUAGUAGCCCUGCUCUAAUAAUCUUUGUCUCUUGUACAGCUUAGAGAUGCAAAUUAUAGGUUUUGUUCUUUCAUUUCUCCUUUUUAGUAUCUAACUUCCAUUAAAAUGGAAUAUAAGUCUGGCAGUCACUUUGCAAUCAGAGGAUGUAUAUAUUGACUGCAUGGCAUAUGUCUAUAUGUACAUAUGUUUGUGUACAUCUGAGCAUACGAAAGAUUACAAUAUUAUCUAAGGAUGAUUAAUUUCCAAAAUAAAAAGUUUCUAAACCUGUACUAGUUUACACAAAAUGCUGUCAUUUGAAAUUCAUUUUGUUUGCCUCUGUUACCAGGAGGUUUUCUUAUCUGUAGGGGCCACCAAAGCACAAGGGGAUGACCGACCCUGGUUAAUCCAAACCACAGGACUGACAAAUGAUUAAUUCCAGUCAUCAGAUGAUUAGUUCUAGUCAUUGGGUCACAACCUCGCCUGUUAGUAACUUGCACCUCAACUCCUUCAGGAAAGGGCAAGAAAAAGAAAGCCACUGUGAUUUGGAGACAAGACUUUUCCAGACAACUAUGAGCAACAGGCAACCAUAGCACGAUGCCAAACAGAAGUGUGUUGUGGAAACCCAGACUUUGGUAUGAAAUCUGCAGGAGCAGAUAAGUGGGUGCAAAUAUACAAUUUUCGGUAGAGAUAACAUUAGCAUGAAUUCUAGAAGUACAUGCAAAGAGACCACAAACUCAUCUGUAAUAAACAUUUUAAAAAAA
This is a non-coding RNA of Microcebus murinus (gray mouse lemur), 849 nucleotides long. The record is from RefSeq and is a predicted model, not a curated record. NCBI's taxonomy places the organism in Eukaryota, Metazoa, Chordata, Mammalia, Primates, Cheirogaleidae.